GAACAUAGUUACAUAGAUAUAUGGGAAUUCAGCAGUAUAUGCUUCAUGAUAGACAUUUGGUAACCAGGCUUUUCGUCCAUUCAUAAUACUUUCAAGAAAAUUACUCAGGUGAUGGGCACUUAAUUUAAAUUCUCCACCCAUAUGAUUGCAAAAACCUAAAAGAUACCCAUAUAACCUGCUUCUUUUGCAAGUAAUAGUAGAUGGUAGACAAGCAAUAAGGGCGACAAAAUAUGUGCAGAAUUUAUAGUCUUAUACAUCCAUGCAUUAACCUUUAGGCAACUUUUCCCUAUGAGCCAAUCCUUGGCAUAGAAGAUAUCAAGUUCUAGGCCAGUAAACAAGUGAGAUCAGCUGUGGAACAGGGUAUAUCUCUGUCACUUGGUACAACUAAAAUACUGUUCAUGCCUCCAAAUGUUUCUCCCGACGCUCAUUUUACUGAUUCAUAUGGUCAAAAUGUCAUAUCUGAUUCUUUCUUUCCAUUACCAUUCUCCAAAACCUUUGCAGCAUGGUUCGUGGUUGAUUCAGCAUCAGCAGUAGGAUCAGGAUCAAGUAAUGCAAGAACAAGUUCACGCUCAGAUGCCAACGCCUGUGUAAUACAACUAUCAGAGCUCCGUUCAAGCAAAAUAUUAGGAAAACUCAAUCAAGCAGAAGUUGAAGCCAAACCUGAUGCAACCAUCCCAGCAUGUCACCUACAUAUCUCAAAGGAUCAUGAGCAUGGACCUCUAUCGGUCUUGGUAAUCCACCAGGUCCACCACGAGUAAGAGCACUAAUAAAUCUUCUGAACAGUGCAUUGUGCCUCAUAUUUGCUACCUGUGUGAGGAAUAAGCAGAUCUUGUAUGUCAUGCCACCAGAAGAUUAUCUGAAAAGUAAUUUUUCAAAGCUAUUACUGAUAUUGCAACACAGCAUUCACCUCUUCCGCACAGUACUUGAACAGGACAGGCCUUUCUUUGAGGCACCGAACUGCUGUCUUUAAAAGAUCACCAACUUCUGGAUUGUCCACAUCACCCAGUUUCCUACAUUCUAUCUGAACCCACCUAGAUUGGGGUAAAACACUAAUGUGUAAGAUAUGAAUGGAACAUAGUUACAUAGAUAUAUGGGAAUUCAGCAGUAUAUGCUUCAUGAUAGACAUUUGGUAACCAGGCUUUUCGUCCAUUCAUAAUACUUUCAAGAAAAUUACUCAGGUGAUGGGCACUUAAUUUAAAUUCUCCACCCAUAUGAUUGCAAAAACCUAAAAGAUACCCAUAUAACCUGCUUCUUUUGCAAGUAAUAGUAGAUGGUAGACAAGCAAUAAGGGCGACAAAAUAUGUGCAGAAUUUAUAGUCUUAUACAUCCAUGCAUUAACCUUUAGGCAACUUUUCCCUAUGAGCCAAUCCUUGGCAUAGAAGAUAUCAAGUUUUCGGCUAAACAAAUGAGAUCAGCUAUGGAACAGGGUAUAUCUCUGUCAAAUUGGUACAACUAAAAUACUGUUCAUACCUCCAAAUGUUUCUUCCGGCACUCAUUUUACUGAUUCAUAUGGUCAAAAUAUGUGUUAAAAAGAGUAUGGGUCCAGUAAAGAUAGCUAAUUU
Molecule: long non-coding RNA, 1562 nt
Filed under: Linum usitatissimum (flax)
Lineage: Eukaryota; Viridiplantae; Streptophyta; Magnoliopsida; Malpighiales; Linaceae
Description: long non-coding RNA (LUSI_LNC006391)
Source: RNAcentral